Molecule: long non-coding RNA, 1946 nt
Organism: Rosa chinensis
Lineage: Eukaryota; Viridiplantae; Streptophyta; Magnoliopsida; Rosales; Rosaceae
Exons: 2
Source: RefSeq, a predicted model, not a curated record
UCCAGUGAGAAGGGGAAAGGUCGAGAGUCUUCGGGGAGGCAAAAAGAAAAAGAGAGAGAAAAGGAGAGAGGGGGAUGAAGAGGAGAAGCUUCCUCUCGCUUCGGGAAAACUCAUCUCAUUGAUGCGUCGCCAGAACCCAUGCUUCUAACUCCUCUCAUCAGUCUUGUUUCUCUUCUCCGAGCACUCCUCACUACCCAGGGUCAGGGUGUUACAAAAUGGUAUCAGAGCAUGGGUUCACACCUCGGACCACGACGCUUUCUGAUUUGUGAUUUGGCAGUCCUAAGUGAUUCAAGUAUGUUUCUGAAUCUUAGGUUUUUGUUUCUGUGUUGCGAUGCAAUUUGGGAUUGAAUUGUUGGGAAUCCUGUGUCGUUUAGAUCAAUGAUUGAUGGGUUUUGGUUCGUUCUUUUUAUUUUGUUUGGAGGUUUUGGGCAAUUGGGUUUAGGAUAACUACAUGCAAGUUUGGAAUUGUGAUUGAGAUCGGAUCUGAUCGUGGAAUUUUAGCCGUGUUUUGGUUUGCUUAAAUUGGGGCCUUGACUUCCAAAUUUUAUUCCAAUUUAUCAUUUAUCUAUCUUCGCUUAUUAUCUUCCCUCUAGGAUUUAUUAAGAGCAAUCAGAUUUGGUUGUCAUGAACUUAGAAGGAAGUAUAUAGAUUUUUUUUCCUGAUUCUGCUCAGGCUAGCUACUACAAGACUUCCCAUCCCAAUGAAAAUGCAACUUUCCAAAGAAGUUUAUUCGUAUGGGUGCAUUCAUGUGAUCCAGCAGAGACUUACCAAAAGGACAUUUAGAUGCCACCAAUACAAUUAUAGAGAAGUUGUGCAGAAGUAAAAGAUGCACAUGGACUUAAACUAGCCUCCAUACUUGAUUUUGGAAGGUUUUCUUUAUUUCCCUCGUUUAUUUAUUUGUUUAUAUAGAUGUAUAUAAUUCUUUUUUUGCUAUGUAUUUGUAUAUGUAAUUAUACAUAUAUCUCGUCAACGAAGCCUGGGAAGGAUGCAAUAAUCUCCGGAAUGCAGGUAAUACAUUGAGGUAAAUUACUUCUUCUAAAUAAUCAGUUAACUUAUAUAAAUGUUUUGCAUUAUAUAUAUGUAUAUAUAUUCUGUAUGUAUGACCUGUUCAGGGCUAUAGUUGUGUUUGUUAUUUUCAAAUCAUAAUGAUCUGUUAUUGAAAGAAAAAUCAAAGAUCAUGGAUGGCUUAUGUGAUCUGAAUGCAAGUAAAUAUUUGGAUUGAAACCGGUUAGGCCUGGGAUAUAAUUAAGGAGGGAUCGAGUUCCCUUGGGUGAAAGACCCUAAACCUGAUUGGGGCUCAUGGAUUAGAGCGGAUAAUUAAGUAGGGAUUGUGCCUCCCUAGGGUGAAAAACCCAAAACCCAAUUGGGAAUUCCGCUUAGUACGGGGUGUCCUCGGUGGCCUUAAUCUGAGGUUCUGCUCAGUACGGGGUGUUCUCGAUGGCCUUAAUUCAAGAGGUAUAAGGCCUAACCGGGAGAAAAAGGAAAAGGAAUAAAAUUUGAUGAUGAAAAUGGAUCUACCUUAUGAAUAGCAAUAUUCAGUUUGAAUUGCAAGACCAGGUAUGGUCAAAUGUUUGUGGCUUUAUCGAUAUGAAGACCAGGUAUGGUCAACUUGAAUUGCAAUACGUGUGGAAUAAUCUAUUAAAUUUGAACUUUGCUCAAGUACUGAUAUUGAAAACACUAUAUUCAUAUCCAUAUCUUUUCAUUCCUGAAUAUAUUUUUUGGUGUCAUACCUGGAAUGCAUUCUGUUCCAGUGUCAUGAAUCAUGACGCUUCCACAGUAAAUUGUAAUGUUCUUAACUUUCUAUUUGUGAGAAGACCAGGAAAGUCCAGUUAAUUUCUUAUAUCUACUCUUAGAUCUAUAUAUAAGUGCAUCAUCUCAUAAAUUUCAUGUAUAAUAGUUUGACUGUUUGGGAUUAUAUUCUGAUAUUGUGGCAGUAUCUUUUAUAA